AGUGAACGCUGGCGGUAGGCCUAACACAUGCAAGUCGAACGGCAGCACAGUAAGAGCUUGCUCUUACGGGUGGCGAGUGGCGGACGGGUGAGGAAUACAUCGGAAUCUACUUUUUCGUGGGGGAUAACGUAAGGAAACUUACGCUAAUACCGCAUACGACCUACGGGUGAAAGCAGGGGAUCUUCGGACCUUGCGCGAUUGAAUGAGACGAUGUCGGAUUAGCUAGUUGGCGGGGUAAAGGCCCACCAAGGCGACGAUCCGUAGCUGGUCUGAGAGGAUGAUCAGCCACACUGGAACUGAGACACGGUCCAGACUCCUACGGGAGGCAGCAGUGGGGAAUAUUGGACAAUGGGCGCAAGCCUGAUCCAGCCAUACCGCGUGGGUGAAGAAGGCCUUCGGGUUGUAAAGCCCUUUUGUUGGGAAAGAAAAGCAGCAGGUUAAUACCCCGCUGUUCUGACGGUACCCAAAGAAUAAGCACCGGCUAACUUCGUG
RNAcentral lists this ribosomal RNA (492 nucleotides) under uncultured bacterium. Its description in RNAcentral is "partial 16S ribosomal RNA". It matches the Rfam family "Bacterial small subunit ribosomal RNA", at positions 29 to 507 of the family's 1533-position model. The record is from RNAcentral.